GCAAUGAAAGCUUAGAUCCGAAGCGUCGGCCUUGUAAGCCGAAAAUCGAAAAUAUCACUUUUCUCAUUGCU
This 71-nucleotide transfer RNA is filed under the name Anatoma sp. MNHN-IM-2013-42003. Its description in RNAcentral is "tRNA-Thr". It matches the Rfam family "tRNA". From Rfam's summary of the family: Transfer RNA (tRNA) molecules are approximately 80 nucleotides in length. Their secondary structure includes four short double-helical elements and three loops (D, anti-codon, and T loops). Lineage: Eukaryota; Metazoa; Mollusca; Gastropoda; Pleurotomariida; Scissurellidae. The record is from RNAcentral.